RNAcentral lists this ribosomal RNA (403 nucleotides) under uncultured bacterium. RNAcentral describes it as "partial 16S ribosomal RNA". It matches the Rfam family "Bacterial small subunit ribosomal RNA", at positions 30 to 526 of the family's 1533-position model. The record is from RNAcentral.
AUUGAACGCUGGCGGCAGGCCUAACACAUGCAAGUCGAGCGAGCGGCGGACGGGUGAGUAAUGUAUGGGGACUGCCCGAUAGAGGGGGAUAACUACUGGAAACGGUGGCUAAUACCGCAUACUAUCGGAUAACCCAUAUGGGAUUAGCUAGUAGGUGGGGUAAAGGCUCACCUAGGCGACGAUCUCUAGCUGGUCGGAGAGGAUGAUCAGCCACACUAGGACUGGGACAAGGCCCAGACGCGUCGGGAGGCAGCAGUGGGGAAUAUUCGACAAUGGGCGCAAACCUGAUGCAGCCAUGCCGCGUGUAUGAAGAAGGCCUUCGGGUUGUAAAGUACUUUCAGCGGGGAGGCGUUACCCGCAGAAGAAGAACCGGCUAACUCCGUGCCAGCAGCCGCGGUAAUUC